Molecule: ribosomal RNA, 440 nt
Filed under: uncultured bacterium
Lineage: Bacteria
Description: partial 16S ribosomal RNA
Rfam family: Bacterial small subunit ribosomal RNA
Source: RNAcentral
CCUACGGGGGGCAGCAGUGGGGAAUAUUGCACAAUGGGGGAAACCCUGAUGCAGCGACGCCGCGUGAGUGAAGAAGUAUUUCGGUAUGUAAAGCUCUAUCAGCAGGGAAGAAAAUGACGGUACCUGAUUAAGAAGCCCCGGCUAACUACGUGCCAGCAGCCGCGGUAAUACGUAGGGGGCAAGCGUUAUCCGGAUUUACUGGGUGUAAAGGGAGCGUAGACGGCAGCACAAGUCUGGAGUGAAAUGCCGGGGCUUAACCCCGGAACUGCUUUGGAAACUGUGCAGCUAGAGUGCAGGAGAGGGAAGUGGAAUUCCGAGGGUAGCGGGGAAAUGCGGAGAUAUUAGGAGGAACACCAGUGGCGAAGGCGGCUUACUGGACUGUAACUGACGUUGAGGCUCGAAAGCGUGGGGAGCGAACAGGAUUAGAUACCCCGGUAGUC